CAGUCGCCACGGUAAUACGUAGGGUGCAAGCGUUAAUCGGAAUUACUGGGCGUAAAGCGUGCGCAGGCGGUCCGCUAAGACAGAUGUGAAAUCCCCGGGCUUAACCUGGGAACUGCAUUUGUGACUGGCGGGCUAGAGUAUGGCAGAGGGGGGUAGAAUUCCACGUGUAGCAGUGAAAUGCGUUGAGAUCGAAAAGAACACCAACGGCGAAAGCACUCUGCUGGGCCGACACUGACACUGAGAGACGAAAGCUAGGGGAGCAAAUGGGAUUAGAUACCCCUGUAGUCCCUGUCUCUUAUAA
RNAcentral lists this ribosomal RNA (301 nucleotides) under uncultured bacterium. Its description in RNAcentral is "partial 16S ribosomal RNA". It matches the Rfam family "Bacterial small subunit ribosomal RNA", at positions 509 to 809 of the family's 1533-position model. The record is from RNAcentral.